GGCUGCACAGUGGUGCAGUUGGUAGCACUGUUUCCUUGCAGCAAAAAGGUCCUGGGUUCGAUCCCGGCCUGGGGUCU
Ataeniobius toweri is the source of this 77-nucleotide non-coding RNA. Lineage: Eukaryota; Metazoa; Chordata; Actinopteri; Cyprinodontiformes; Goodeidae. The record is from the annotation of a GenBank genome assembly.